RNAcentral lists this ribosomal RNA (484 nucleotides) under uncultured bacterium. Its description in RNAcentral is "partial 16S ribosomal RNA". It matches the Rfam family "Bacterial small subunit ribosomal RNA", at positions 30 to 507 of the family's 1533-position model. The record is from RNAcentral.
AUUGAACGCUGGCGGCAGGCCUAACACAUGCAAGUCGAGCGGACGAAGGGAGCUUGCUCCUGGAUUCAGCGGCGGACGGGUGAGUAAUGCCUAGGAAUCUGCCUGGUAGUGGGGGAUAACGUCCGGAAACGGGCGCUAAUACCGCAUACGUUCUGAGGGAGAAAGUGGGGGAUCUUCGGACCUCACGCUAUCAGAUGAGCCUAGGUCGGAUUAGCUAGUUGGUGAGGUAAAGGCCUACCAAGGCGACGAUCCGUAACUGGUCUGAGAGGAUGAUCAGUCACACUGGAACUGAGACACGGUCCAGACUCCUACGGGAGGCAGCAGUAGGGAAUAUUGGGCAAUGGGCGAAAGCCUGAUCCAGCCAUGCCGCGUGUGUGAAGAAGGUCUUCGGAUUGUAAAGCACUUUUAGUUGGGAGGAAGAGCAGUAAGUUAAUACCUUGCUGUUUUGACGUUACCAACAGAAUAAGCACCGGCUAACUUCGUG